AGUGAACGCUGGCGGUAGGCCUAACACAUGCAAGUCGAACGGCAGCACAGUAAGAGCUUGCUCUUACGGGUGGCGAGUGGCGGACGGGUGAGGAAUACAUCGGAAUCUACUUUUUCGUGGGGGAUAACGUAGGGAAACUUACGCUAAUACCGCAUACGACCUACGGGUGAAAGCAGGGGAUCUUCGGACCUUGCGCGAUUGAAUGAGCCGAUGUCGGAUUAGCUAGUUGGCGGGGUAAAGGCCCACCAAGGCGACGAUCCGUAGCUGGUCUGAGAGGAUGAUCAGCCACACUGGAACUGAGACACGGUCCAGACUCCUACGGGAGGCAGCAGUGGGGAAUAUUGGACAAGGGGCGCAAGCCUGAUCCAGCCAUACCGCGUGGGUGAAGAAGGCCUUCGGGUUGUAAAGCCCUUUUGUUGGGAAAGAAAAGCAGCAGGUUAAUACCCCGCUGUUCGGACGGUACCCAAAGAAUAAGCACCGGCUAACUUCGU
Molecule: ribosomal RNA, 491 nt
Filed under: uncultured bacterium
Lineage: Bacteria
Description: partial 16S ribosomal RNA
Rfam family: Bacterial small subunit ribosomal RNA
Source: RNAcentral